RNAcentral lists this long non-coding RNA (1251 nucleotides) under Homo sapiens (human). RNAcentral's name for it is "non-protein coding lnc-SNX7-11:1". Lineage: Eukaryota; Metazoa; Chordata; Mammalia; Primates; Hominidae. The record is from RNAcentral.
CUCAGAAAAGGACCAAAAAAAAUCUAAAUGUUUAGAACAAUUUAGGUUGGUAGCUUAAAGACAGAAUGUUUCAGUUUUUAGGAGAUUCAUCGAAACACAAUUCACGUAGCUGCAACCAAAACAGCCUUCGAAAUACAUCAGAACAAUGAAGAACAACUUCAGACAGCAUUGAAAGACACUUCGGAUAAAAAUUCCAAUCUUCAGGGAAACACAGAGCUGCUUUCACAAGAAGCUGAAGAGUGGAAAAGGGAAGAGGGAGCAAACAUACUAAGCAGAAUAAAAUGCUAGAAAAUUCUAAAAUGUGUAGGAAACAAGUUCUAAAAUAUGACAAGUCUGAUCAAGCUUCUGUGUGAACACAAGUUAAAGGUGAGAGACUGGGCUACUGUUCUUGGAGACGACGACAUGGAUGCUAAGAACUUGGAUAUAAAAAUGCAACAGAAACGGAGACAUCUUAGAAGAUGAAUCAAAAUUUUGAAGAAUCUUACUAAUGGAGCUGAGUUAUUUAGAAAAUCUUGAUUCAAAAAACAUGAAUGCUCACUAAAUUAACUGAAAGAGGGGAGGUCAUAUUAAAAGUCUGCAAACUGGGAAAGCUUCACCGCACUCAGAAACAAACUAACAGGAAAACGCACACAGAAAGGAGAGGCAAAAUUGCUGGUGGAAAUUUCAAGUCCUUCUUGAACUGAAUCAAAGAAAUGAAAUAUAUUUUCACAAAAUAUCCUAUUUAGACUGUGUUUACCCCAUAAAGAUAGAGGAGAAUCUUCCCAAGGGAGGUGAAAAGAUCAGUCAUGCAUGUGAAGAGAUGGACACCUAUAAAAUAUAAGCCUAAAAGUUUUUAGAAAAAAAAAGGUCAUUGGCCUAUUAUCAAAGCCAGAUUAUUUUCAAUGAGCAAAAUACUCAAAUAACAGGUUGACAGUUCUGUUGUGUGAGUGAAACCUUAAUCAUGUAAGAAAACAAAAUGCCUGCACAUAAGACAAAUUAUUAACAAUUUACAUGUUUCAAAAAAUAUCCUAAUAUCCUUGAUAUUCCAAGUGAAACAUUUAGCAGAGACUUCUGAGGACCACCAGGGCACACUCUGGCUAACCAGAUCUCUGAUGAAGGAGGAGUAUCAAGUUGUGAAGGUGUGCAAAUGCAAGGCCUCAUGCGUGAUAUGGACCGGAUGCCACCCACUACCCAGCCCAGGCUCAGGACUGCAUAAGCAGGGUCCUUCCAACAGACCACUCCCUCCUGACAUAGGAGGUCCUCCAUAAGCGC